This 286-nucleotide ribosomal RNA is filed under the name Pseudopolydora sp. GF-15102_7470. RNAcentral describes it as "partial large subunit ribosomal RNA". Lineage: Eukaryota; Metazoa; Annelida; Polychaeta; Spionida; Spionidae. The record is from RNAcentral.
CUCUUAAACAGGAUUAGCCUGUUAUCCCUAAGGUAGCUUCUUCUAUUAAUCAGCUAUGCUGGAUCUUUUUAUGUAUCUAAGAGGUGUUUAAGAGCCCUCUAGUUGCCCCAACUAAACUUGGAACUGAAAUAAAGUCAGUUAUAAGUAAAGCUCUAUAGGGUCUUUUCGUCUUUUUAAAAGAUUCAAGUCUCUUCACUUGAAGGUCAAUUUCUAUUUAUAAAUAAGAGACAGUUAUGCUCUCGUAUAUUCAUUCAUUCCAGCCACCAAUUAAAUGGCAAAUGAUUAU